AGUGAACGCUGGCGGUAGGCCUAACACAUGCAAGUCGAACGGCAGCACAGUAAGAGCUUGCUCUUACGGGUGGCGAGUGGCGGACGGGUGAGGAAUACAUCGGAAUCUACUUUUUCGUGGGGGAUAACGUAGGGAAACUUACGCUAAUACCGCAUACGACCUACGGGUGAAAGCAGGGGAUCUUCGGACCUUGCGCGAUUGAAUGAGCCGAUGUCGGAUUAGCUAGUUGGCGGGGUAAAGGCCCACCAAGGCGACGAUCCGCAGCUGGUCUGAGAGGAUGAUCAGCCACACUGGAACUGAGACACGGUCCAGACUCCUACGGGAGGCAGCAGUGGGGAAUAUUGGACAAUGGGCGCAAGCCUGAUCCAGCCAUACCGCGUGGGUGAAGAAGGCCUUCGGGUUGUAAAGCCCUUUUGUUGGGAAAGAAAAGCAGCAGGUUAAUACCCCACUGUUCUGACGGUACCCAAAGAAUAAGCACCGGCUAGCUUCGUG
RNAcentral lists this ribosomal RNA (492 nucleotides) under uncultured bacterium. RNAcentral describes it as "partial 16S ribosomal RNA". It matches the Rfam family "Bacterial small subunit ribosomal RNA", at positions 29 to 507 of the family's 1533-position model. The record is from RNAcentral.